Molecule: ribosomal RNA, 536 nt
Filed under: uncultured bacterium
Lineage: Bacteria
Description: bacterial SSU rRNA
Rfam family: Bacterial small subunit ribosomal RNA
Source: RNAcentral
CCUGGCCUUGACAUACUAAGAACUUUCCAGAGAUGGAUUGGUGCCUUCGGGAACUUAGAUACAGGUGCUGCAUGGCUGUCGUCAGCUCGUGUCGUGAGAUGUUGGGUUAAGUCCCGCAACGAGCGCAACCCUUUUCCUUAUUUGCCAGCGGGUAAUGCCGGGAACUUUAAGGAUACUGCCAGUGACAAACUGGAGGAAGGCGGGGACGACGUCAAGUCAUCAUGGCCCUUACGGCCAGGGCUACACACGUGCUACAAUGGUCGGUACAAAGGGUUGCUACCUCGCGAGAGGAUGCUAAUCUCAAAAAGCCGAUCGUAGUCCGGAUCGCAGUCUGCAACCCGACUGCGUGAAGUCGGAAUCGCUAGUAAUCGCGGAUCAGAAUGCCGCGGUGAAUACGUUCCCGGGCCUUGUACACACCGCCCGUCACACCAUGGGAGUUUGUUGCACCAGAAGUAGGUAGUCUAACCGCAAGGAGGACGCUUACCACGGUGUGGCCGAUGACUGGGGUGAAGUCGUAACAAGGUAGGCGUAGAUGA